This 94-nucleotide microRNA precursor is filed under the name Canis lupus dingo (dingo). Its description in RNAcentral is "mir-8799 microRNA precursor family". It matches the Rfam family "mir-8799 microRNA precursor family". The record is from Rfam by way of RNAcentral. Lineage: Eukaryota; Metazoa; Chordata; Mammalia; Carnivora; Canidae.
GGGGGGAGCGCCAGAUCCUGGGCUGUGUCCCCCGGCGCCCUGGGCUCUGGGGCCUAUGCUGCUUGAAUCGUGCUCCAGGGUGUUGCAGCUUCCG